AAGAGGGAAGAGCCCAAGAUUGAAAGCUGGCGUCUUCGGCGUCCGCAUUGUAAUCUCAAGAAGUGUUUUCCGCUUCGGACCAAGCCUAAGUCCCCUGGAAAGGGGCAUCAUAGAGGGUGAUAAUCCCGUACAUGGCUUGGAGCGCCCGAGGCUUUGUGAUACGCUUUCUAAGAGUCGAGUUGUUUGGGAAUGCAGCUCAAAAUGGGUGGUAAAUGCCAUCUAAGGCUAAAUAUUGGGGAGAGACCGAUAGCGAACAAGUACAGUGAUGGAAAGAUGAAAAGAACUUUGAAAAGAGAGUUAAACAGUACGUGAAAUUGCCAAAAGGGAAGGGUAGGAGGUCAGAGAUGCGGCCUGGGAUUCAGCCUUGCUUUUGCUUGGUGUUUUUCCCAGAUUGCAGGCCAACGUCGGUUUUGGGCACUGGAGAAGGGUAGGAGGAACGUGGCACCCCUCGGGGUGUGUUAUAGCCUCCUACUGGAUACAGCGACCGAGACCGAGGACAGCAGCGUACUCGCAAGAGCGGGCCUUCGGGCACCUUUACGCUUAGGGCGUUGGCAUAAUGGCCCUCUACCACCCGUCUUGA
This 580-nucleotide ribosomal RNA is filed under the name uncultured Pseudozyma. RNAcentral describes it as "LSU rRNA". It matches the Rfam family "Eukaryotic large subunit ribosomal RNA", at positions 96 to 657 of the family's 3401-position model. The record is from RNAcentral. Lineage: Eukaryota; Fungi; Basidiomycota; Ustilaginomycetes; Ustilaginales; Ustilaginaceae.